GGGGAAUAUUGGACAAUGGGCGCAAGCCUGAUCCAGCCAUGCCGCGUGGGUGAAGAAGGCCUUCGGGUUGUAAAGCCCUUUUGUUGGGAAAGAAAAGCAGCCGGCCAAUACAGGGGGGUGAUGACGGUACCGUAAGAAUAAGCACCGGCUAACUUCGUGCCAGCAGCCGCGGUAAUACGAAGGGUGCAAGCGUUAAUCGGAAUUACUGGGCGUAAAGCGCGCGUAGGUGGUUCGUUAAGUUGGAUGUGAAAGCCCCGGGCUCAACCUGGGAACUGCAUCCAAAACUGGCGAGCUAGAGUACGGUAGAGGGUGGUGGAAUUCUCGGUGUAGCAGUGAAAUGCGUAGAGAUCGGGAGGAACAUCAGUGGCGAAGGCGACUGCCUGGGCCAACACUGACACUGAGGCACGAAAGCGUGGGGAGCAAACA
Molecule: ribosomal RNA, 426 nt
Filed under: uncultured Lysobacteraceae bacterium
Lineage: Bacteria; Pseudomonadati; Pseudomonadota; Gammaproteobacteria; Lysobacterales; Lysobacteraceae
Description: bacterial SSU rRNA
Rfam family: Bacterial small subunit ribosomal RNA
Source: RNAcentral